This 496-nucleotide ribosomal RNA is filed under the name uncultured bacterium. Its description in RNAcentral is "partial 16S ribosomal RNA". It matches the Rfam family "Bacterial small subunit ribosomal RNA", at positions 29 to 507 of the family's 1533-position model. The record is from RNAcentral.
AUGCACGCUGGCGGCGUGCCUAAUACAUGCACGUCGAGCGAACGGACGAGAAGCUUGCUUCUCUGAUGUUAGCGGCGGACGGGUGAGUAACACGUGGAUAACCUACCUAUAAGACUGGGAUAACUUCGGGAAACCGGAGCUAAUCCCGGAUAAUAUUUUGAACCGCAUGGUUCAAAAGUGAAAGACGGUCUUGCUGUCACUUAUAGAUGGAUCCGCGCUGCAUUAGCUAGUUGGUAAGGUAACGGCUUACCAAGGCAACGAUGCAUAGCCGACCUGAGAGGGUGAUCGGCCACACUGGAACUGAGACCCGGUCCAGACUCCUACGGGAGGCAGCAGUAGGGAAUCUUCCGCAAUGGGCGAAAGCCUGACGGAGCAACGCCGCGUGAGUGAUGAAGGUCUUCGGAUCGUAAAACUCUGUUAUUAGGGAAGAACAUAUGUGUAAGUAACUGUGCACAUCUUGACGGUACCUAAUCAGAAAGCCACGGCUAACUACGUG